This is a long non-coding RNA of Macaca mulatta (Rhesus monkey), 1615 nucleotides long. The record is from Ensembl. NCBI's taxonomy places the organism in Eukaryota, Metazoa, Chordata, Mammalia, Primates, Cercopithecidae.
GAAUUUCCAGGAGGGUCAUUUUUUUCAAGACUUGUAGAGUAACAAGGAAUUUGCUUGGCCUUGACGUCCUAGAAAUAAUAAAGAGGUCUAGUGUCUUGGAAACUGGACUCACCUUUCUUAGGAAGACCACACAACCAAAGUCAGAUGAAACCAAAGGGGCCGGAUGAAAUGACCCAAGAACUAUUUUCCCAUCACCUGAGAGCAUUUUCUAUCCGGCAAAUAUUUACCAAGCUCCUAUUUUGUGCCAGGAAUCGUGCUCAGGACUGAGGGGUAAAAACGAAUCUGAGGAAUAGGCGGACACACAUAUAUGUCUCAUACCACUUGGUACAGGCUACCCUGGGGUCUAGGAACACACUCGUGUGCUUGGGGAAUGAUGAUACCUCAAGGAAACUGGUCUGAGAAGAGCGGGGAAGGAGAGAGAGAAGGCCAGGAAUGCAACAAUAACAGUGAUAAUAAAGAAUAUUUAUGUGGCAUUUACAGUCUACAAAGCACUUUUACUUUUUUUUUUUUCAUCUAAUCUUUACAACAGCCCUUUGGGAAGUAAACAGAAAAGUAGUUUCCCCCAUGUGGGUACCUCCGGGAGACGAGCUCUCCCUAAGCGGCAAUAUAUUCAAAAUGCAUCCGGCCUAUCAGCAUCCCCUUGGACACUCCACAUCCCAUGAACCACAUCCACAAGCGACGGUCUUUGGUGUGCCACUUCCUGUUGAAGCUGCCUGUCUACCAGAAUUAGCCUUUCCAUAGGUAAGGCCCUGUCGGGGAAGGUGACGGGGAGCUGUCCAACCAAGACUCCUUAGGAGUCAUUCUCUCUAAUCGACAGCAACGAAAACAAAGGUGAUAUUGCCUCAUCAUCUUUCUUAAAGGUAGGUGUUUAACAUUUUUUAAAAACCAUGGAACUGGGCUGGGCUCGGUGGCUCAUGCCUAUAAUCCCAGCACAUUGGGAGAACAAGGAGGGCAGAUCGCUUGAGCCCAGGAGUUUGAGACUAGCCUGGGCAACAUGGCUAAACCCUAUUUCUACAAAUUAAGAAAAAAAAAUUAGCCAGGAAGCGCAUGCCUGUUGGCCCAGCUACUCAGGAGGCUGAGAUGGGAGGAGGGCUUGAGCCAGGAGUCCGAGGCUGCAGUGGGCCACAGUCGCACCACUGAGCUCCAACCUAGGUGACAGAGCAAGACCCUAUCUCAAAACAAAAUACACAAAACAAAACAAAACAAAACAAAACAUGGAACUAGACAAGCUCUUGCCUAAUAUCUACUUAGGAUCUCUCAGGUUUCUCCUAUUAAAAAAUACAAAUAAACCAAAAGCCACUAGACUUGAGCAAAGACAAGGAAGCAUGUGUCUAGCACAUGGCCAGCAUGUGUGGGCAUAACCAUAGUUAGAUAUUAAAACCCAAAGGCUGGUGGAAACGCUCAGCAGGCCAGUCCGUGCCCUCCCUUAUCCAAGUGAGUGUGCCUUUGAUCCCAGUGAGCCUCAGAAGCCUGAGCAGUGUAUUAGUCAUCAUUUCUACUCUAAUUAGAAAAGAUUUCUUUGUUCCCAGCCCAAGUUCAAUCAGCAUUUCAGUUAAACAGGUAAAAAAAAAAAAAAUUGAGUUGGAAAAAUCUUCGAGUCAUUUGGCCCAAAAGG